Molecule: non-coding RNA, 683 nt
Organism: Paramuricea clavata
Lineage: Eukaryota; Metazoa; Cnidaria; Anthozoa; Malacalcyonacea; Plexauridae
Source: the annotation of a GenBank genome assembly
CUGGAAAAUUUGUCAAUUCCAUCGUUGCUAAAUUCACCCCGGAACAGAGUGGACAAAUUAAGUCACUGUAGCCGCAAUUUCUGAUCGUGGAAUACGUAUACAUUUUUCGGAAAACUGGUUUAAUUAAUCAAUUAAAAUUUACAAAAGAAGUUUGUUAAUUACUGUUGUGUCUUAGGUUUUACUAGUUUUAAUAGCUCAAAUUCGCUUCUACAAUAUGUGUUACUUCUCCGCUCUCGCUCGCCGAGGCUUACCGGAAGUGACGUAACACUACAUCACCCCCUUUUUCUAACAGAACAAAGGAAUGUCAAAUGUUUCAAACUGUCAAUGCAAAUGUCCAAAUAAAUUUCUCUAUGAAGUUAUUGUUUGAGUGUUUUUUUGUUUUUUUUACAGUCUCAACCCCGAGUUUAUUGGGUGUCCAUAAAAGUUUGUCUGCCGUGUGUUUCGUGUAGAUCUUCUAGGCUCUUGUUGUUCUUGUUGGUAUUGUUCCUGUACUUGGUCUCCUUCUUCUUCUCUUCUGCUAACAACAUCCUCAUCAUCCUCUUCUCGACUAACCGCUUGUUCCGCUAUCUUCUUGAAGAACGAUACAUUUCGCGUGAUGGAAUGUUGUUGGUUUUUCGCGACUACUUUUGACCCUUUUAUGGCAACGAUAGUAUAUGGCGUAGGACUGAAAUUGGUUGAAAAUU